Molecule: small nucleolar RNA, 108 nt
Rfam family: Small nucleolar RNA snoR97
Source: Rfam
CAUUACAGAUAGAUAUUGGGUCUGAAAAAACUCAGAGAUUGAUGUGUUGUCAUCAGCUUCUUCUCUUGUAUUUCAAAGAGUGUGGAGUUAAAUAACAGCACUACAAUU